Molecule: transfer RNA, 86 nt
Filed under: Chelatococcus reniformis
Lineage: Bacteria; Pseudomonadati; Pseudomonadota; Alphaproteobacteria; Hyphomicrobiales; Chelatococcaceae
Description: tRNA-Leu
Rfam family: tRNA
About the family: Transfer RNA (tRNA) molecules are approximately 80 nucleotides in length. Their secondary structure includes four short double-helical elements and three loops (D, anti-codon, and T loops). Further hydrogen bonds mediate the characteristic L-shaped molecular structure. tRNAs have two regions of fundamental functional importance: the anti-codon, which is responsible for specific mRNA codon recognition, and the 3' end, to which the tRNAs corresponding amino acid is attached (by aminoacyl-tRNA synthetases). tRNAs cope with the degeneracy of the genetic code in two manners: having more than one tRNA (with a specific anti-codon) for a particular amino acid; and 'wobble' base-pairing, i.e. permitting non-standard base-pairing at the 3rd anti-codon position.
Source: RNAcentral
GCGGUCGUGGCGGAAUGGUAGACGCGCUAGCUUGAGGUGCUAGUUGGGUAACACCAGUGGAGGUUCGAAUCCUCUCGACCGCACCA